This 22-nucleotide microRNA is filed under the name Drosophila simulans. RNAcentral's name for it is "dsi-miR-973-5p". Its record names the gene dsi-miR-973-5p. Lineage: Eukaryota; Metazoa; Arthropoda; Insecta; Diptera; Drosophilidae. The record is from miRBase by way of RNAcentral.
CCGGGUUGGUGGUUGAACUUCG